UUAACAUUAGCAAUUUGAAGCUCAAUCUGCUCAAGUAUACUGGCAGGGUCCAUGUUUCCAGAUUCUAUGGCUUCAACAGCAUAUUCUUCUACUGAUCAGUUUGCUUAUAUUCUCACUAAAGGCCUUUCCACUCCUUUAUUUCGGCGUCUCUGUUCCAAUCUUAUGCUUGGUUCCUCCAAGCAUAUGAUUGCGGGGGAAUGUCAAGAUAUCAAAGGCUCUGCUUCAGCCACCUCUGCUUCAGCCACCUGUCAAAGAGAAUAGAGAAUAUAAUAGUUAGCAAGUUUGUUAAUAUGGUUAGACAGUUAAUGAAUUCUGUUACUAUUGAGUAGAAUACGUAACCAAGCUUCUCACCUUCUGUUGAUAUAAAAUGAAUGUAA
This 377-nucleotide long non-coding RNA is filed under the name Populus trichocarpa (black cottonwood). Its description in RNAcentral is "long non-coding RNA (PTRI_LNC001421)". Lineage: Eukaryota; Viridiplantae; Streptophyta; Magnoliopsida; Malpighiales; Salicaceae. The record is from RNAcentral.